This 821-nucleotide ribosomal RNA is filed under the name Escherichia coli. RNAcentral describes it as "partial 23S ribosomal RNA". It matches the Rfam family "Bacterial large subunit ribosomal RNA", at positions 365 to 1191 of the family's 2925-position model. The record is from RNAcentral. Lineage: Bacteria; Pseudomonadati; Pseudomonadota; Gammaproteobacteria; Enterobacterales; Enterobacteriaceae.
UGACAGCCCCGUACACAAAAAUGCACAUGCUGUGAGCUCGAUGAGUAGGGCGGGACACGUGGUAUCCUGUCUGAAUAUGGGGGGACCAUCCUCCAAGGCUAAAUACUCCUGACUGACCGAUAGUGAACCAGUACCGUGAGGGAAAGGCGAAAAGAACCCCGGCGAGGGGAGUGAAAAAGAACCUGAAACCGUGUACGUACAAGCAGUGGGAGCCUCUUUAUGGGGUGACUGCGUACCUUUUGUAUAAUGGGUCAGCGACUUAUAUUCUGUAGCAAGGUUAACCGAAUAGGGGAGCCGAAGGGAAACCGAGUCUUAACUGGGCGUUAAGUUGCAGGGUAUAGACCCGAAACCCGGUGAUCUAGCCAUGGGCAGGUUGAAGGUUGGGUAACACUAACUGGAGGACCGAACCGACUAAUGUUGAAAAAUUAGCGGAUGACUUGUGGCUGGGGGUGAAAGGCCAAUCAAACCGGGAGAUAGCUGGUUCUCCCCGAAAGCUAUUUAGGUAGCGCCUCGUGAAUUCAUCUCCGGGGGUAGAGCACUGUUUCGGCAAGGGGGUCAUCCCGACUUACCAACCCGAUGCAAACUGCGAAUACCGGAGAAUGUUAUCACGGGAGACACACGGCGGGUGCUAACGUCCGUCGUGAAGAGGGAAACAACCCAGACCGCCAGCUAAGGUCCCAAAGUCAUGGUUAAGUGGGAAACGAUGUGGGAAGGCCCAGACAGCCAGGAUGUUGGCUUAGAAGCAGCCAUCAUUUAAAGAAAGCGUAAUAGCUCACUGGUCGAGUCGGCCUGCGCGGAAGAUGUAACGGGGCUAAACCAUG